This 74-nucleotide transfer RNA is filed under the name Solirubrobacteraceae bacterium. Its description in RNAcentral is "tRNA-Cys". It matches the Rfam family "tRNA". Rfam says of the family: Transfer RNA (tRNA) molecules are approximately 80 nucleotides in length. Their secondary structure includes four short double-helical elements and three loops (D, anti-codon, and T loops). Lineage: Bacteria; Bacillati; Actinomycetota; Thermoleophilia; Solirubrobacterales; Solirubrobacteraceae. The record is from RNAcentral.
GGCGACGUGGCGGAGUGGUUACGCAGCGGCCUGCAAAGCCGUUUACACCGGUUCGAUUCCGGUCGUCGCCUUCA